RNAcentral lists this ribosomal RNA (460 nucleotides) under uncultured bacterium. RNAcentral describes it as "bacterial SSU rRNA". It matches the Rfam family "Bacterial small subunit ribosomal RNA", at positions 28 to 524 of the family's 1533-position model. The record is from RNAcentral.
GAUGAACGCUGGCGGUAUGCCUAAUACAUGCAAGUCGUGCGGAAAGGCCUCUUCGGAGGUACUCGAGCGGCGGACGGCAGAGUAACGCGUAGGAACAUACCCCCAAACUGAGGGAUAACUGCUCGAAAGAGUAGCUAAUACCGCAUGUGGUCUUCGGACUAAAGCUUCGGCGGUUUGGGAAUGGCCUGCGUUCGAUUAGCUAGUUGGUGAGGUAAUUGCUCACCAAGGCGACGAUCGAUAGCUGGUCUGAGAGGAUGAUCAGCCUGACUGGAACUGAGACACGGUCCAGACUCCUACGGGAGGCAGCAGUAGGGAAUUUUCCACAAUGGGCGAAAGCCUGAUGGAGCAAUACCGCGUGCAGGAUGAAGGCCUUCGGGUCGUAAACUGCUUUAUGUGAGAAGAAUUUGACGGUAACACAUGAAUAAGGGUCGGCUAACUACGUGCCAGCAGCCGCGGUAAU